Molecule: long non-coding RNA, 1730 nt
Organism: Pygocentrus nattereri (red-bellied piranha)
Lineage: Eukaryota; Metazoa; Chordata; Actinopteri; Characiformes; Serrasalmidae
Exons: 2
Source: RefSeq, a predicted model, not a curated record
GAGAGAGAGAGAGAGAGAGAACCUUUCAGAGUCUGAUAGAGACUGAAGAUACAUUUAUAAAUAGUUGAUUUAGGUUGCUGAGCACAUUUUUGCAAACUCUGGUCACCUUUACUUUAGACUCUUCCGUUAUGGAUUAAACCUCUAUUCUUGUAUGGGAAUAAAAACGGCAGAGCAUUUUUCAAAAGUUUAAAAUCUGUGGUCCAAAAUGAUCUCGUGGGGACUCUCGCUCUGAUUGGUCAGCUAAGCCAUGUGACUCCACAGCCCACCCGCACUGAGAGCUACCUCAAGAGGCCGAGAUGAUUCAAGGUCAAAAAUAUUAAGCUGUACCCCUCCCAUUUCAGUCUGGAUGACCACAGCUCUGUGUCCAAUCCAGGAGCGCUUUUAAAGGAGAAGAGGAGGUUUGGGGUUUGGACUGACUGCUGUGAAACUUUUUACCUUUUCACCUGUACUAGAAAUGCCAUGAGAGGAUUUUCUCAACAAUUUUUUUGAAAUAGAGAAAAGGGGAAGAAACUGAGCUUGGACUGAUACACUGAUGUGCUUGUUUUCUAAGAUGCAAUGCUGCAAAAUGAAUUUCACUGCAUUAUUUACAGAUAUCAAUAUAUAAGAAAAGAGGAAGCGAGAGAGAGAGAAAGAGAGAGAGGAACAGAGCUGCUGAUGCAUUGCAGAUAAACUGCAGAUCCUGGGUAACCCCUCCCCUCCACUUCUCUCCCUCGCUCCCACCCAGACGCACCGUAUGACAUCACCGCUGCCUCCACCCUCGUCUCCUCACUCCUCCGAGCGUGAGUCACUGGCUCCCUCUGUGCCCCGGCCCAGACUAAUGCCUCUAAUGUCGCUCCCUUAAUCGAGCCAGCGCUUCCACACAUCUCUCAACUCUGUUAGCCACGCUCGGCCCAGCAGUCCCUCUGGAGCCUUAAAUCAUUUCUUUGAAGCAUAAAGGUGUCCAGAAUGUGCAGACUGAAAAGUGCUGCCCAGCCUGCCCUGACCGUGCACAGGUUUAACAAGCAGGCCGUGUUGCUGUCUCUUAUUUUGACAGUGACUCCUAUAAACUCCUUACGUUUGAUGUUCUGAUUGUCAGCCUGGUAGACUCUAAUGCAAUGCUGAAUGCACCCUUGCAUCAUCCUUAACAGGGGAAUAGAUGAAAGCAGGAGUCUGCAGAAGUGCCUAUGACAGGCAGAGCCACUCUCUCUUCUUGGUUGGAGACAAGUGCCACCAGAAUGCACAUUUGGACAAACUAACAUUAUUUUUAUUUGGCAAAUCAACAGGUUUCAUUAUCAUGCAGCUUCUUGGAGCAUCUGUUCAACAGCAGAGGGACAGAUAAUAAACAGAUGUAGCAGUUUAACACAAACGUGUGUGACAGAGAGUGACAUUGAUGUAACAUUGCACACCAGACAGCAGGCAUACUGUCCCAUAUUAUCUUGUGCUAAUUAUUGCAACAUGUCAAUAAUGCUGAUAUUACGUUUGUUGUGCAGUGUCAUGGCUGACAUUGCUAAGAGGGAGUGAGCCUGACUCAGAGACUGAGAGAGGGAGACUAGAGCUGACAUUUCAGGAAGAGCUGAUAUUUAUGGCUGUCUGGGUCAGGGCACCUUCCUCACCACAUGCACUUCGUUCUGUCCUUCAGCUUUAUUCUGUCCAGUCAUCUUUAACCAAUCAAAUUAUAAGCUUAAAGUAUCUAUCCAGAAUUAAUGUGUUGACAAUACCUUCACUGUCACAAUAAAAAAUUGAAAAUAUGA